This is an RNA transcript of Varanus komodoensis (Komodo dragon), 5226 nucleotides long. It is a transcript of the gene named lysine acetyltransferase 2A, with no coding region annotated. The record is from RefSeq and is a predicted model, not a curated record. The transcript has 19 exons. Lineage: Eukaryota; Metazoa; Chordata; Lepidosauria; Squamata; Varanidae.
UCCCAGCCUCUGCCCAUGCGCACUGGCGUCCACGCGCCCACGCCGUCCCGGAGGGUCCCGGGCAUCAUGGCGGAGCCGGAGGUCUCCUCACAGGCUUCCCGGACCCCGCAAACUUGCGCUCCCUCGGGCGCCACCGUCUCUGCAGCCACAACUCCGCCGGUGGUGGGGGUCGGCGGAGCUGGGGGAGGCAGCGGCGGCGGAGGCGGCGGCGGAGGCGGCAGCAGCGAUCCGGUUCGCCCGGGAUUAAGCCAACAACAGCGCGCGAGCCAGCGAAAGGCGCAUGCGCGGAGCUUCCCGCGGGCAAAAAAGCUGGAAAAGCUAGGGGUAUUUUCCGCGUGUAAGGCUAAUGACUCCUGCAAGUGUAAUGGCUGGAAGAACCCAAAUCCCCCCACAGCACCUCGCAUGGAUCUGCAGCAGACAGUCACCAACCUCAGCGAGCCCUGCCGCAGUUGUGGGCACACUCUAGCUGAUCAUGUGUCUCACCUGGAGAAUGUUUCUGAGGAGGAGAUCAAUCGACUGUUGGGGAUGGUGGUGGAUGUAGAGAACCUCUUCAUGUCUGUGCACAAAGAAGAGGACACGGACACCAAGCAGGUUUAUUUCUACCUAUUCAAGCUUCUAAGGAAAUGCAUCCUGCAGAUGAGCCGCCCAGUUGUUGAGGGCUCCCUCGGCAGCCCCCCUUUUGAAAAGCCAAACAUUGAACAGGGAGUCUUAAACUUUGUACAGUACAAGUUCAGCCACCUGCCCCCCAAGGAGCGGCAGACCAUGUUUGAGCUCUCCAAGAUGUUCCUUCUGUGCCUAAAUUACUGGAAGCUGGAAACGCCAUCCCAGUUCCGCCAACGCUCACAAAACGAUGAUGUGGCAACAUACAAGGUCAACUAUACCCGGUGGCUGUGUUACUGCCAUGUGCCCCAGAGCUGCGACAGCCUCCCACGAUAUGAAACCACGCAGGUAUUUGGGCGCAACCUCCUCAAGUCCACUUUUACGGUUACUCGCCGGCAGCUGCUAGAGAAGUUCCGGGUGGAGAAGGACAAGCUGGUGCCUGAGAAGCGGACCCUCAUUCUCACCCACUUCCCCAAGUUUCUGUCUAUGUUGGAGGAAGAAAUCUAUGGAGAGAGUUCUCCAAUCUGGGAGGCUGAUUUUACGAUGCCGGUAACAGAAGGCCCUCCACUUGUCCCCCGUCCAGCGAUCAGCACUGUUCCUGCAGCCAGCACUCCGCUCUUCAGCAAAUCUCUGAGCCGCAGCUCCUCUUUGGCGUCAAUUAACCUGGAUGGCAGCUCCUUGGAUUCUGUGCCAGGUGAGAAGAGGAAGCUUCCGGAGAGUUUGACUCUUGAGGAUGCCAAAAGGAUCCGUGUCUUGGGUGACAUCCCGAUGGAGCUCGUCAAUGAAGUGAUGUUGACCAUCACAGAUCCAGCAGCCAUGCUGGGGCCUGAGACCAGCCUCCUCUCAGCAAAUGCAGCCCGGGAUGAGACAGCCCGACUAGAGGAGCGACGGGGCAUUAUUGAAUUCCAUGUCAUCGGCAACUCGCUCUCGCAGAAGUCAAACAAGAAGAUCCUCAUGUGGCUGGUUGGGCUACAGAAUGUUUUUUCACACCAGUUGCCUCGGAUGCCCAAAGAGUACAUCACCCGCCUGGUUUUUGACCCCAAACACAAGACUUUGGCACUGAUCAAGGAUGGCCGAGUGAUUGGAGGCAUCUGCUUCCGGAUGUUCCCAACGCAGGGCUUCACAGAGAUUGUCUUCUGUGCUGUGACGUCCAAUGAGCAAGUCAAGGGCUAUGGGACUCACCUGAUGAAUCACCUGAAAGAGUACCACAUCAAACACAGCAUCCUCUACUUCCUGACCUAUGCUGAUGAAUAUGCCAUUGGUUACUUCAAGAAGCAGGGUUUCUCUAAAGACAUCAAAGUCCCCAAAAGCCGCUACCUUGGCUACAUCAAGGACUAUGAGGGAGCCACCUUGAUGGAGUGUGAGCUGAAUCCCCGGAUUCCCUACACAGAGCUCUCACAUAUCAUCAAGAAGCAGAAAGAGAUCAUCAAGAAGUUGAUAGAGAGGAAGCAAGCCCAGAUCCGCAAAGUCUACCCUGGCCUCACUUGCUUCAAGGAGGGCAUUCGGCAUAUCCCAAUUGAAAGCAUUCCCGGCAUCCGAGAAACAGGAUGGAAGCCCAUGGGAAAGGAAAAAGGGAAGGAGCUCAAGGAUCCAGACCAGUUGUACACCACCUUGAAAAAUCUCCUUGCACAAAUCAAGACCCACCCCAGUGCCUGGCCAUUCAUGGAACCAGUGAAGAAAUCUGAAGCUCCUGACUACUACGAGAUCAUCCGUUUCCCUAUUGACCUCAAGACAAUGACAGAGCGACUGAAGAACCGCUACUAUGUCACCAAGAAGCUGUUCAUCGCUGACUUGCAGCGCAUUAUCACCAACUGUCGUGAAUACAACCCCCCGGAGAGUGACUACUGCAAGUGUGCCAACACCCUGGAGAAAUUCUUCUACUUCAAGCUCAAAGAAGGGGGGCUCAUCGACAAAUAGGAGUGGCCACUGACCACAUGGGAAUUUUUGCCUCCAUCUCUUCCAUCUUGUUCGAAACUCUUCUGGCUUCUGAGCGGCUGGACAUUUCUCCUGUCUGCCUUUUGCUGAGUCUCACGCACAAACCGAUGUUGUUGGCUGGAUAUAAGAGGUUUCCUGUGCAUGGUUGGAUGUGGGGUGAGAGGGGGAAUACACGCACAGGUGAUCAUCUCUGAACGCUACUCUCCGUUCAACAGCCUGGGAGUUUUUCUCAGCCCUGUUAAAUUCUGAGCCUUAUCACUCUGUCCAUUGGGCCUUCCUUUCCAGAAGAGAGCAGCUGGGAGGAAUCUGAAUGAUGGCUUUCUCCCCUUUUGCUAAAAAGGGUUCUUCAUCAUCACAUGAGCAUCUGAAAUCUAAUGAGGGACCUGAUGCAGCUUCUCUCCCCACCCCGGUUUCCCUUUUGUGUCUGUGGGUUUUCUGUACUUCCAUGCUUCCUGGAGAGAGAAACUCCAGAAAGCUUCAUCUGCUUAUAUGCCAUUCUUGCUUUCAGGUUCAGCCAUUUCUUCUUGACAUGUGAAUGUAGAAAAGGAGCAGUCCUGGGGAAGAAGAGGAUGAAGAUUGUAGGGAAUUAAACAGACUAAAGCAAUAGGGAGCUUUUCGCCCCAUCUGAGGGCCUUUGUGGUGACCAUACCAGAAGCCCCUUCUUCUGUUUGGCCAGUUUACACAUUCCACCUGCAUGUGCUUUCCUUUCCCUCAAAGGAUAGGGGACUUUAAACCUUGGGGUUUCAGUCACAUAGGGCAGAGGCAAGAGUCCCUUUUCCUCCCCUUUUUAAAACUAUGUCCUACUCAGUAAAAGCUGCCCUCAUUAAUUCCACCAAAACCCCCAUGGCGGAUCGAAACACUAUUCUCUACGAAAGGGUGGCUGUUGAUUGUGUAUUCUCUGCUGAAGAACGGUCGCGAUACAUUGAGGGCUGCUUCCACACAGAUGAGCACAGCUGUGCCUCUCUUCCUGCCUUGGACAUCCCUAGCUGGCUGUUCUUUCUUCCCACCUCAGUUUAGAAACCAUUCUGAAUCAUGGUUUCUCUCAGCACUUACUGGACCUCACAACUCUUUGGUCAGCUGCAGCUGAUGGCUUUCUACUCUCCGACCUCGGGAACCCUCCCCUUCUACCAGGACUAGGUAGGCCUCUCCGUCCAGCUUUGGUGCUGCCUCUGACCAUGUCAGUGGUGCUCAUGAUUGUAUUUCUCUCUCUCUCCCCCUUAUCCAUCUGACAGGCACUUUGCUGCAUGUACAUCUGUGAGUAUCAGAUGUGUUGGUUAUUUCUCAUGCCCAAUUUAGGGGGAUUAGGAGAUAUUUUACGUUUUCAAAUGGGGUGGCCAGUUGUGCCACUAGCCAGAUGCUUUAGAACAACCAUUCUGUGUGAUAGAUUAGGGUAAUGUUGACAGCUACUCACAGCCUGGUUGCUUGCCUUAAAUUCCUGUAAAUUUGGGGGUGGUUAAUGCAAGUGCCGCCAUGUCGUGACACAGAACUAUAGCCGCCCCUUGCUUUCCCAUUGAAAAUCAAGAGUCCCAAUAAUAACGUGAAGUGUCCUAGAUUUAGCCUUCUCCGCUGUGGUGCCCUUGAUGUUUUGGACUACAAUUCCUGGCAUUUGUGCCCUUUGACCUUGCUGACUGGUGCUGAUGGGAGCUGAUGUCCAAAACAUCUGGGUUGGAAAAUAAUGCCCUAGAACAUUAAUGAAGUUAAUUGGUAUUCUACAUUAAAUGGGGCUUAUGGGUUGCCUACUUCUUUUCCUUCUGAUACUGCCUGAAAUCAGUUGGGCAAUGGGAGAAAGUGACAGGGAGGGGAGAACAUCUUGCUGUUAGGCAUCACUCCUUCCCUCUCUUGAUUUGAUGAAUCCCUUCAGAAAAUGUGGAGGGGAGAAACAGAAAAAGUGCGCUGAUGAGGUGGGAAGUCAAGAGGCACCCACGGACUGGAUUCACACAACAUGAUGAGCCAGAUUAUGAACUGAGCAUGGGUUGUGUUGUGUGCACCCAGCCAUGCUAAUUCACCAUGGUUUGUGAACCACAAACGGCACACAACGAUAGUCCAUGGGUGCUUGUUGGGUUGUGAAUGGUGGAUUGUUCACGGUUCACACAAAAACUUGCAGUUCAGCACUUAGGCAGCCUGUACUCUGGGUUGUUGUGUUUUGUGAAUUAGACCACUCACUUGCCAGUCGCUUCGCUCCCUCUUUGUGGAUAGUCAGUCCAGGUGGACUUUGCUGGAUCUAAGUACUUGUUCUAGAGGUCCUACUUUGGUUCCAGGGACUUGAUGUAAGGUGUGGCUUCAUAUUGCUUUCCAACCAGAUGCAAACAUCAAUCAGCACUGAGCAUUUUGCCUCAACCACAGAGUCUAAAGAAGUGGCUUUAGAAGUUCCAGUGUGUCCCAUUCUCUUCAACCUUAUGCAGACUCAUCCUCUCCUCCCCUUUCCUCUUAUUAUAGAAGAGUUAUUUGCCCUUUGUGACUCUGAGGAACCUUAUAAUAGGGAGUGGAGAGAGGGAGGAAUGCAUUUAAGUGGUGAUCUAUCUGCCUUCUCUUAAGUGACUGUUGCCUUAUGCCCACCACAUUUGUGUGCUUAACCUGUACAAUUGUGGGGCCUAGCUCUGGUGUUCUGGGCCUUUCAAUAAUGUUGCCAUUCCAUUUUUUAAUAAAUACAAGGAACAAAAUAAUUAAAAAUAUGUUCAAAUUGGAAAUAAA